This is a long non-coding RNA of Suricata suricatta (meerkat), 1402 nucleotides long. RefSeq lists it as uncharacterized. NCBI's taxonomy places the organism in Eukaryota, Metazoa, Chordata, Mammalia, Carnivora, Herpestidae. The transcript is spliced from 3 exons. The record is from RefSeq and is a predicted model, not a curated record.
UACAGCCAGUUGGCCGACUUGGCUUGUGACUGGCCUCUGAAGUGGGGGGCCCGGGGUGGGGAACCUUGUGGGACUGAGCCUUCACCUGUGGGAUGUGACACGACCCCCAGGUGGACAGUGCUCAACCGAGCUGAAUUGUAGAAGGCCCAGCUGGCAUCAGAGAAUUGCUUGGUGGUGUGGGUGGAAAGCCCACAUUGGAGUGGGAAUCAGAAUUGUUAGCCCCCUAGGCCUGGGGUGCCAGGUCCCUUUAGAGCUCUGGGGCCCUGUCCCCAGCCCCAGCCCCUGCUGGUGGCACUCACACUGCACAGAGAGAUUCAGCGUGCGGUUCUGGGAGCCAAGCCUGUUCUCCGCUCGGCAGGUGUAGCGGCCUGAAUCCCCAGGCCUCACCCCGGGCAGCAGCAGGGCCAGGGGCCUCGGGCUCCAGGGGUGGGACCAAGAGAGGAUUCUGUCCUCCAGGGCCCAGCUCAGGGUGGCAGGGGGCUGGCUCUCGGCAGCACAGAGCAGCUGCAGGAACUGGCCUUUCUGGGCUUCCAGAUACGGACUGUUUCCCUGAGGCUGCGGGGCUGCAGAGACAGAAGCAGAGACGGGGAGAGAGAGAGAGAGAGAGAGAGAGAGAGAGAGAGAGAGAGAGAGGCUGCAGGGAGGAGCAGAGUCUCCCUUGACCUCUGUCUCCCUGACCCUCCACACUCCGCAGAGGACCAACCCCGCCUUCCUAGUCGCCAGUCCCUCAGUACCAACCUGACACCCGGGCUCGGGAAACGCUGAUAACUAGGUCUUUGGGGGCAUCUGCAAAAGAUUGAGAGCUGGCUCAGGGGAGGAACGUGGGGUUCCUCGCAGUCAGAGGGAACCCCCUUGGGGAAAAGAAAGUGUGAUAUCCUCAAGACGCAGGUGACAAAUCGGCGUCAGAGAUGCCUGUGGCGGGGGGGAGCAGAAGGCAUCCCCAAGCCCCUCCCAGGGCUGAGGCAGCGCGUGGGACUCCACACCUGCCCAUCUGGAUGCCCCACCGGCCACACCCCGCCGUGCCCGUCUGUGCACCCUGAUGCCCUGACCACCAGACUCACAGGUGACAUUAAGUUGAACAGUUGUCUCUGCGCUCACGCCCUUUCUGGAGAAGUCUACUCGGCAGGGAGAAUCCUAGGCUCUGAGCCUGAGACCCUGAAGGAGACAGAGGCCUCACGCUGCAGGCCCAGCCCGAGUCCCCACCCAGGCCUCUUCCGGCCCCGCGGCCACUUACCGCCCCACAGCACGGCCAUCAGCAGUGACAGGGCCAUGUCUGCCGGAGGACGCACUUGGACCUGCCCUCAGACGGGCUUGUUCCCCAGAAGGGGAACUACCAGCUGCGGAAGCUGAACCCCAGGCCAGAGAGAGACAGAACAUGAGGGGGGAGGGGCAGAGAGAGACA